CGGGACCGGGAUCAGUCAAUACCCGGCCCGUCCCGGCUCAUGCCCAGCCCUAGUCUCCACUUUCUUGUAAUCUUGUUCAAGAGGAAAGUAGAGAAAGUGAGCAUCGUCGACCAUGACCAACAGCGCAAGCGGCAGCGGCAAGCAUGAUGAGCCCACCAAACCUCCGCCCCCAAAGGAUUCCAAAAAGAAAGACGAGGAUUUGUCCGAUGAAGAUUUGGCCCUCAAGCAGCAAUUAGUACUUGGAGAGGGUUCAAGAUUCCGGACUACAGAAAGUUGCGCUAGAGGCAGGAAAUUCGUACCUCAACUAGUUCCAUGACCUCAUUACCAAAGUUUUCGCCCACAUUACGGAACUCUAAAAGCAUACUAUGAAACAAUGACCGAUUCAGAUUUGAAGAAAUACCUUGCGGAUAUACUGUCGGUUUUGGCACUGACCAUGUAUGCUGAAGGAGAACGGGAAAGCUUAAAGUUUAGAUUGUUGGGUUCAGAAUAUUGGUUCAUGGGGACAUGAAUAUGUCAGGAACUUAGCUGGAGAAAUUGCUCAAGAAUAUGCCAAGGCACAGAGUGAUGAGACCCCGUUUGAUGAUCUAAUGGAGCUAGUACAACAAAUAGUUGCUUUUCACACGAGGCACAAUGCCGAACCGGAAGCUGUUGACCUUUUAAUGGAGGUUGAAGACCUUGAUCUGUUAGUCGAGCAUGUUGGUAAGACAAAUUUUAAGAGGACUUGUCUUUACCUCAUCAGUUUGGCAAGAUUGGUUCCUGGACCGGAUGAUAUGUUAGUCUUGGAUAUCGCAUCCAUGAUAAAUCUGAAAUUUGAAGAAUAUCCAAAUGCACUUCUGACUGCCCUUUUCCUUGACAAUAAGGAGGUUUGUGCUUUUCAAAAAAAAUGGCAUGUGUUUUGUUAAUUGACCAGGGAAGUUGACAGAAGAUUAUACAAGUUAUAUGAUUUGGUGCUAACAAUUUUGAGUAUGUUCGCAGUAUGUAAAGCAAGUCUUUACAUCUUGUGAUGAUCUGCGUAAAAAGCAAAUCUGUUACAUCCUUGCCCAACAUGGUAGUAAUUUUGAGCUUAAUGAUGAGAUGAUGUCAGAAGAUGACGAAAGAGAAGCAAUGCAUGACAUUAUUAAUAACGCUAAACUCAGUGAUGGUUAUCUUACCCUUGCUUGUGAUAUUGAGGUCAUGGAGGCCAAAACUCCAGAAGAUAUCUACAAAGUUUUGAACGUUUCAUUUCAUGUCAUAGAUCUGACACUUGAUGCAUAUUUCAAAAUUUGCUGUUGUGAUGAUAUACCGUCAUAAGAUUUUAAGGAUUACUGCAUUUAAUGUGCAAAAAGCUAUGCUGCUCUGAGUGUUUAUUUGGUUGGUAACUUGCGUCCCUAUCAACUUUUGGUAUUUUUUAGUCACUCGAUUGAACUAGGGAGUAAAAUAGUGUUCUUUCACUCAUCUAAUUUAAGUGACUCAAAAUCUAUCGAUGAGGUAUCUAUAUUCAAUUUUCAUGCUCAUUACUACCCACUUUCCAUAUGAUUCUGUCAAGUUAAUAAUAAUACGUUUCAUUUUGUUCUUUUUUCUGUAAUCACAUAUCUGUGGGUUUCAUGCUCUUCACGACUAGAAAUAGUUUUGAAGGUUUGAUGAACUUUUAUCUUCUAGGAUUGAAUUACUACUGUUUUAUUAUGACAUAAAGAUUGAUUUAGAACUAAGUGUGGAUUUCUAUAUUUUGUUGGCUAUUGAUGAUGUCAUGGUGAUUAGAAGCAUGAUUCUUAUUUUGUUCUAUAUUUUGUUCGCCUGGGCUGGAAAAUAAAAGAAGUCCUCGUAUUUUAGGUAGUGGUAAUGAAAUAAAUAG
Molecule: RNA transcript, 1831 nt
Organism: Fragaria vesca subsp. vesca
Lineage: Eukaryota; Viridiplantae; Streptophyta; Magnoliopsida; Rosales; Rosaceae
Exons: 11
Source: RefSeq, a predicted model, not a curated record